This 325-nucleotide long non-coding RNA is filed under the name Heterocephalus glaber (naked mole-rat). RNAcentral's name for it is "lncRNA (ENSHGLG00000035529.1)". The record is from RNAcentral. Lineage: Eukaryota; Metazoa; Chordata; Mammalia; Rodentia; Bathyergidae.
CGCCUCCCCGAGCCCGGGAUCAGCGACCCAGGAGCCCGCGCCCCGCGGCCUCGCCGCCACACUUUCCUGGGAGCGCCGAGGCGGCACCAUGAAGAAGUCGUACUCAGGAGUCACACGGACCGCUAGUGGCCGUCUCCGGAGGCUUGGCGACCCAACGGGCCCAGAUUGAAGAAAUUAGACCAGACAAAGAGUGUUUUGGGAAGAGGAGGAGGCAGAGAGAAGGAGGGCGCCGGGGGUGAGAAAGGAGGACGCCUCUGAACAGGGGAAGCCUGGACGCCCGCCCGCCUGCCUGCUGCUAAAUAUAGCCGUCGGAAUGGAGAGGGAC